RNAcentral lists this ribosomal RNA (775 nucleotides) under Escherichia coli. Its description in RNAcentral is "bacterial SSU rRNA". It matches the Rfam family "Bacterial small subunit ribosomal RNA", at positions 1 to 765 of the family's 1533-position model. The record is from RNAcentral. Lineage: Bacteria; Pseudomonadati; Pseudomonadota; Gammaproteobacteria; Enterobacterales; Enterobacteriaceae.
AAAUUGAAGAGUUUGAUCAUGGCUCAGAUUGAACGCUGGCGGCAGGCCUAACACAUGCAAGUCGAACGGUAACAGGAAGCAGCUUGCUGCUUUGCUGACGAGUGGCGGACGGGUGAGUAAUGUCUGGGAAACUGCCUGAUGGAGGGGGAUAACUACUGGAAACGGUAGCUAAUACCGCAUAACGUCGCAAGACCAAAGAGGGGGACCUUCGGGCCUCUUGCCAUCGGAUGUGCCCAGAUGGGAUUAGCUAGUAGGUGGGGUAAAGGCUCACCUAGGCGACGAUCCCUAGCUGGUCUGAGAGGAUGACCAGCCACACUGGAACUGAGACACGGUCCAGACUCCUACGGGAGGCAGCAGUGGGGAAUAUUGCACAAUGGGCGCAAGCCUGAUGCAGCCAUGCCGCGUGUAUGAAGAAGGCCUUCGGGUUGUAAAGUACUUUCAGCGGGGAGGAAGGGAGUAAAGUUAAUACCUUUGCUCAUUGACGUUACCCGCAGAAGAAGCACCGGCUAACUCCGUGCCAGCAGCCGCGGUAAUACGGAGGGUGCAAGCGUUAAUCGGAAUUACUGGGCGUAAAGCGCACGCAGGCGGUUUGUUAAGUCAGAUGUGAAAUCCCCGGGCUCAACCUGGGAACUGCAUCUGAUACUGGCAAGCUUGAGUCUCGUAGAGGGGGGUAGAAUUCCAGGUGUAGCGGUGAAAUGCGUAGAGAUCUGGAGGAAUACCGGUGGCGAAGGCGGCCCCCUGGACGAAGACUGACGCUCAGGUGCGAAAGCGUGGG